This 432-nucleotide ribosomal RNA is filed under the name uncultured bacterium. Its description in RNAcentral is "partial 16S ribosomal RNA". It matches the Rfam family "Bacterial small subunit ribosomal RNA", at positions 29 to 506 of the family's 1533-position model. The record is from RNAcentral.
AGCGAACGCUGGCGGCAGGCCUAACACAUGCAAGUCGAACGAACUCUUCGGAGUUAGUGGCGGACGGGUGAGUAACACGUGGGAACGUGCCUUUUGGUUCGGAAUAACUCAGGGAAACUUGUGCUAAUACCGAAUGUGCCCUUCGGGGGAAAGAUUUAUCGCCAUUAGAGCGGCCCGCGUCUGAUUAGCUAGUUGGUGAGGUAACGGCUCACCAAGGCGACGAUCAGUAGCUGGUCUGAGAGGAUGACCAGCCACACUGGGACUGAGACACGGCCCAGACUCCUACGGGAGGCAGCAGUGGGGAAUCUUGCGCAAUGGGCGAAAGCCUGACGCAGCCAUGCCGCGUGAAUGAUGAAGGUCUUAGGAUUGUAAAAUUCUUUCACCGGGGACGACAAUGACGGUACCCGGAGAAGAAGCCCCGGCUAACUUCGU